RNAcentral lists this long non-coding RNA (791 nucleotides) under Homo sapiens (human). RNAcentral describes it as "HSALNT0133339". The record is from RNAcentral. Lineage: Eukaryota; Metazoa; Chordata; Mammalia; Primates; Hominidae.
UCUUCUUCCUGCUAGCAAUGGAGCUCUACCUGGUCUCGUCAGCAAUCACGUCAUUAAAUCUGACUGGCAACUUGCAGAGGAUGGUGGGGCCGAGAGACAACAGGUCAAGUUUUCGAGGGCAGAAAAGUGAAGAUGGAAGUAUCCAGAUUCAUCUGAUGAUCCUCACUCAAAGACUUGUCUUCCUGCACCAUCCUCCUCCGUUUAAGAGUGAUUAUUUGAGGAGCACCUUGUGAUGUUGAAAAAUAAGAGUUGAACACUGACAAGCUAAAGAUUACUGGAGAUUAAGGAAAGUGCGUGGAGUAAGAUUUCAAGUCACCUGGAGCCAAGGAUAUAGUGAACCAAUUGAGUACUAAGACAUACAGCAAGAAAAAAAAAUCUAAUUUUAUCUUCAAGGAGAUGAAAGAAAGAAGAAGGAAGUUUUGGGACAAAAACAAUCAAAUACUAGAUUUGAUGUUAAAUAAAAAUCUCUUUGUAAUUCAAUGCCUACCCCACACUCACAUUCUCAACCCUACUUUUUUCGUUACCAUCAAUGCAUCAUUACUGUAUUCCUUUUUCUCCACGAGAAAUACUCAAUAUUUCAACACAAUUGUGUGAUAAAUAAAUUGGCCUAUGACUUCUUAUUAAGAAGAGCUGUGUUUCAAAGAGAACUAUGUUCCCACAAUCACUUAAUCUCUUGGAGCAUAGCAAAUCACCACAUAAUUGAAAUAUGGCUGUAAAGACUUGUGUUUGCUUAAUAAACACAAAAUUGAUUGGCCUAAAUGGAUUUUCUACUUAUUUUAGGGAAAAACAAC